CGUCUAUAUACGUAUAGCAUAUCAAUAAGCGGAGGAAAAGAAACUAACUAGGAUUCCCUCAGUAACGGCGAGUGAAGCGGGAAGAGCUCAAAUUUGAAAUCUUCAAGGUUUUACCUUGACGAAUUGUAGUUUAAAGAAGUGUUUUCUGUUGGUGUUUUGGUAGAAGUUCUUUGGAAUAGGACAUCAUAGAGGGUGAGAAUCCCGUAUUUGACCAUUACUUCCAGCGUUGUGAUACACUUUCAAAGAGUCGGAUUGUUUGGGAAUGCAGUCCAAAAUGGGUGGUAAAUUUCAUCUAAAGCUAAAUAUUGGCGAGAGACCGAUAGCGAACAAGUACCGCGAGGGAAAGAUGAAAAGAACUUUGAAAAGAGAGUUAAACAGUACGUGAAAUUGUCAAAAGGGAAGCGUUUGACACCAGUGUUGUUUUCUCGAAAAUCAAUUAAAAAUAAAUUUGAUUUUGUGUUGUAUUGACCUUAAAAGCUUUCUUCACUUUUUUCAUGUUUAUUUUUAAUGCACUUUUCGUUUAACAAGUCAACAUCAGUUUCUUUUGUUGUAAAAAGGUCAUUGGAAGGUGGCUUUCUUUUCAGAGAAAGUGUUUAUAGCCUUUGACUCCUGCAAUCGGAGAGACUGAGGUCUGCAGCGUAGAUCCUUCGGGGUUAGAUACAUUUGUGCUAAGUUAUAGCCUUUCAUAGACAACUUGUUGACUAUGAUCAGUCAUGUAGCUUACUCGCUUAUGCUAUUUUACCUACGCUUAGGAUGUUGAUCUGUAGUGCGUGCGC
RNAcentral lists this ribosomal RNA (776 nucleotides) under uncultured Neocallimastigales. RNAcentral's name for it is "partial large subunit ribosomal RNA". It matches the Rfam family "Eukaryotic large subunit ribosomal RNA", at positions 26 to 606 of the family's 3401-position model. The record is from RNAcentral. Lineage: Eukaryota; Fungi; Neocallimastigomycota; Neocallimastigomycetes; Neocallimastigales.